CCUACGGGAGGCAGCAGUGAGGAAUAUUGGUCAAUGGACGAGAGUCUGAACCAGUCAAGUAGCGUGAGGGAUGACGGCCCUAUGGAUUGUAAACUUCUUUUGUAAGGGAGUAAAAAGAGGCACGUGUGCUUAUUUGCAUGUACUUUAUGAAUAAGGAUCGGCUAACUCCGUGCCAGCAGCCGCGGUAAUACGGAGGAUACGAGCGUUAUCCGGAUUUAUUGGGUUUAAAGGGAGCGUAGAUGGGUGUUGAAGGAAGUUGUGAAAGUUUGGGGCUCAACCGUAGAAUUGCAUUUGAUACUGGGAGUCUAGAGUACAGUUGAGGUAGGCGGAAUUCGUGGUGUAGCGGUGAAAUGCUUAGAUAUCACGAAGAACCCCGAUUGCGAAGGCAGCUUACUAAACUGUAACUGACAUUGAUGCUCGAAAGUGUGGGUAUCAAACAGGAUUAGAUACCCGAGUAGUC
This 460-nucleotide ribosomal RNA is filed under the name uncultured bacterium. RNAcentral describes it as "partial 16S ribosomal RNA". It matches the Rfam family "Bacterial small subunit ribosomal RNA", at positions 338 to 795 of the family's 1533-position model. The record is from RNAcentral.